AGCGGCGGACGGGUGAGUAACGCGUGGGUAACCUGCCUCAUACACAUGGAUAACAUACCGAAAGGUAUGCUAAUACAAGAUGAUAUAAGAGAUUCGCAUGGAUUUCUUAUCAAAGCUCCGGCAGUAUGAGAUGGACCCGCGUCUGAUUAGCUAGUUGGUAAGGUAACGGCUUACCAAGGCGACGAUCAGUAGCCGACCUGAGAGGGUGAUCGGCCACAUUGGAACUGAGACACGGUCCAAACUCCUACGGGAGGCAGCAGUGGGGAAUAUUGCACAAUGGGCGAAAGCCUGAUGCAGCAACGCCGCGUGAGCGAUGAAGGCCUUCGGGUCGUAAAGCUCUGUCCUCAAGGAAGAUAAUGACGGUACUUGAGGAGGAAGCCCCGGCUAACUACGUGCCAGCAGCCGCGGUAAUACGUAGGGGGCUAGCGUUAUCCGGAUUUACUGGGCGUAAAGGGUGCGUAGGUGGUUUCUUAAGUCAGGAGUGAAAGGCUACGGCUCAACCGUAGUAAGCUCUUGAAACUGGGAAACUUGAGUGCAGGAGAGGAAAGUGGAAUUCCUAGUGUAGCGGUGAAAUGCGUAGAUAUUAGGAGGAACACCAGUAGCGAAGGCGGCUUUCUGGACUGUAACUGACACUGAGGCACGAAAGCGUGGGGAGCAAACAGGAUUAGAUACCCUGGUAGUCCACGCCGUAAACGAUGAGUACUAGGUGU
RNAcentral lists this ribosomal RNA (710 nucleotides) under uncultured bacterium. RNAcentral's name for it is "bacterial SSU rRNA". It matches the Rfam family "Bacterial small subunit ribosomal RNA", at positions 94 to 823 of the family's 1533-position model. The record is from RNAcentral.